Bufo gargarizans (Asiatic toad) is the source of this 296-nucleotide long non-coding RNA. RefSeq lists it as uncharacterized. Lineage: Eukaryota; Metazoa; Chordata; Amphibia; Anura; Bufonidae. The transcript is spliced from 3 exons. The record is from RefSeq and is a predicted model, not a curated record.
GAAGUCAUGAAGUCAUCCUCUGCCUGUGACCCUUUACAGCCCUAACGGGCAGAAGUUACUCCGGCAGGGCACAUUGAGAUCUAGAUUGGCUAAUAUUACUCUGUGUGACUCACGUACCAGGCAGUUCCUCUUCCUGCAUUACAUUCUAUGUUGUAGUAAAGAAUCCACUUGACAAGUACGCCUUACUGAGGAGCUCCUCUGUGGGCACUGGAACAACCGCCCUGUCCGCACAGUACCACUGACAGUCUGCUGUGCUACGCUUCAGGACCUCGGUUACAGCAUGGACGUAAUCUGCG